This 212-nucleotide long non-coding RNA is filed under the name Capsicum annuum. Its description in RNAcentral is "long non-coding RNA (CANN_LNC007267)". Lineage: Eukaryota; Viridiplantae; Streptophyta; Magnoliopsida; Solanales; Solanaceae. The record is from RNAcentral.
UUGCUUCUUUGACUUUCAAUAUAUAAGAGAAGUACCAUAGUGAACUAGAUAGCCAAUAAUGGACCUUUAUUGUUAAUACAAGCUCUCCAAUCUAGAACCUCCUAAAUAUCUUCUCACCUUUGUUGUAUCUGUAUUUCUUGGUGCCAUAUGAGUCUUUACAUGAGGGUAUACCUCUGCAGUAACUUGCAUUUCUGAUAACACUUCAGAAGAUG